AGCACAACCUCCAGAGAGCCACUGGGACGUCUUCCCUCUAUCUGACACGUGGAUCUCACAACCCCAGCCUGCACUUGCUGGACUCUUUGGUGGGAGGAGACAGGGAUAGGGAAGUGUGCGGAUGUAAUCUGGAAUCCCGGCACCGUGCGGGUGGAAAACGUGCUGCAGCUCAAUCAUGCAGAACUUCUAAAAGAGUAUUUCUCCCACUGAGACUUCAGGCCUGUCUGCUUGCCACUAUUAAUAUACAGAGAACUGCACUUGGACAAAUCAGAGCUGCUGGAAUGAGUUACUGAUCACAAGCAUCCUGAGUGUUAGCGAAGCCUCCUGAAAUUUGCACCCAAAAGUAGCCACACACAGGUGGAAGCACUACUGCGUUUCACAAUGCAGCCUAACAGCAAGACGUUGCCUUCACCAGGCAUAGCCUACAAUGAAGAUCACAAUAUGGAUGGCAGAUGGAUCCGAAUUUAGGGUACAUAUGGAAAAUAUCAGAAAAAAAUCUUUGCUGCCCCCCACCCAUCUGACUCUUCACCAUUACCAUUUGAGGCUUUCUAUAACUGACUAAGAAAAGUCACCGGUACAUCUCCAAGGGACUUUUUGAGCACACUUUGGGUUCCAACUGGGAACUUCUUCCCAGGUCAGAAGGCACAGCGCUCCCCCAUCUACUGUAUCUCUCAGGUUUGGUCUGUCUGCCAUAUGAGCAUACAAGACUGGAGGUAAUAGAGUGAGAAGGAAUAAAGAGGGGUUUUCCUUCAUCCCUGUCACCAUACAGAAUACCAUCUACAUGCCAGGAAGACACCUGCCCUUUCUGCCCGCAGGUGCACUAUGGAGGCACUGGACCAAUGGUUCUGCUCUGUGGCCUCUUUCCUCUGCCUUUUCUCUGCCUUAGGUGGGCUGGGAUGGGAUAGGUGUAGCAAGAGUGGUGAUGACAACAAUUCCUGUCUGAUUCCCCUUGAGCAUUAGUAUAGCAUUCAACACAUAGUACAUGCUCAAUCUUUGUUGAAUAAGAGAAAAAAGAUUGGAGAGGAGAGAGAGAGAGAACAAGUAUGUCAAGUGUCUCUCUCCGGUACAGGACCCUGGUAUCAUCUGGUCAGGACCAAAUAUCAGAGGAAAGGCCUUCCUCCCAGCAGGGAAUGGAAGAUGAAGAGCAUUUAUUGGGUGUCUGCUGGAUGCCAACAACUUUACUUACAUUAAUCCAAGCAAUCUUUCAUGCUUUGUGAAACAGGUACCAGUAUCAUCCUUUUUAUAUAGAUGGAGAAGCUAAAGUUCUGAUUGCUAAGUUGAUUGCCCAAGAACAUAAAGAUUGUUGGUGGUACAGUGGGAAUUAAAAGACCUCAGUCCAUCCAGUUUUGAAUAUUUGAUCCUCUGCACAGCAUGAAGUCGGCCUCUUGGCAGGGUUGUUGUGAGAACUGGCUCCAGCUUUUGCCCCAGGCCCACAGCCUUACAGCCACCGUUCUCCCCAAGAAAUGUGCAGACAGUCAGCCUGCCUCUUGAUGGGACGGGCAGGAAGAGAGAUAGCAAGCAGAGCACUCCUGAUUCUAGAACUAUGUGAGCCAGAUGCCACGUGACAGCUGACUGGACAGCAAUCAAGGUCCUCCUUCUAGGAGAUAAGGGAUUCCCCUCCCAGGUUGCUUUGGGCCUCAGGCCUGCUCUGCUCCUUCCACUGUAGGCCAAUCCAAGAAACUCAAGAAGCACACAUGGUUUAGGAUCAAAGCUGCUGGGAGGGCUCCUAAACGCCCCAUGCAAGGCUGCUGCUGAUAGAUCCUUGAACUGCUGGGAGGUCUGGGGAGUAACUGCUGGCUCUUCCAUCCGUCCUUUCACAGGAGGCUGCCUGAAGCGCCAAAGCCCAACCAGGCUGCCUGAUAGGACCCAAGAGGGCCUCUUUCUCGUCUCCUUGUAGGGAAGUCAGGCUUGAAAGUGGAAAUGACUUCAAUUUCCUUAGUUACUUCAAGCUUCUACUUAGUAGCUACAGGAGUAAAUGCAGAGAAUCUAAGCAGCUUUGACGAUCUUAGAAAAUGCUCACCCUGGCUUCACCUAAAAAAUAGCAUCCUAACAAACCUCUAAGCUGCUCUCUAUGGCCCCUGGGACGAAGGCAAGGGCUGGUCCCUGAGGAAAGUGAAAAUGGAAAACUGUUCCUUCACUGCUGUUUCCAGAUCUGUCGCCCUGAAGCCCACACAGACAUUGUCAGAGGUCUUACAGAGAUGGCUUGCUUCUUGUCUUGAAUCCAGCUUUUUCUGGAUUCCAGGACAAGACACAGCUUUUGGCCUCCAGCAGCUUCCAGUCUUCCAAGGGCUUUGACUUCCAGCCAGAUCAAUCUGCUCAUUUACCCUAAACCCCACGUCUUUCUCUGGCUGUCAUGCUUUGCACAUUCUAUUCCCCCGAGAGGAAUGUCUUUCCUUCUUCCCUGUGCAAAAGUCUUGCUCAACUUUCCAAUCCCAACCAUAUGGGCCUUGUGCAGUGCCACCUGCCCCGGAUCCUCCAGGAGAAGUGUGGCUAUGAAGCCCCUCGAGUCCCUCCUCAUGCUACUCUGCCCUCAGCCAUUGUUCUGGGCACUAUGGUCUAUGUGGAGAAGUUCUCAUGCAGAGCUGUUCCUGAGACAGUGAAUGGGGGAAGUCUUCACAGCAGAGAAAUUUUACCAUCUUCCCAAGCCAUCUUUCACUUACCUUCCAAAUCAAAGCAGGGGAGAAGAACACAACUAUGCAAUGAUGGGAAAGAUGUAAACUGAUCCACAAUAAUUCUUAUGGAAGAGAAACUAGUGAAGAGUAUGCAGGGUAUCUGUGUGCUUUGACAGAUCAAAAGUAUCCCAGAUGGUAUUUACUGCCUCAGUUCUGUUGAUAAAAUACAGCGGUCACAGCCCAUACGUCAGAGUUGGAAGUCAGCAUUCCAGCACUCUUAUGUCUGAACUGGUGGUGAGAUCUGAAGGACAUGUGCUAGUCUAGAAGAAAAGAUCCUAAAGAAAAGAAAUUGUCAGAACUUGCAUAGCCCUGCUCAGGAAGCCAACACUGACUCCACCAUGGCUAGAAGACAGCAGUAGAAACAAGUUCUGCUCUUUGCAAGGAAGAUUCCAUUCUAGGGCAGGAGUCACUGUCACUUCAGACCUUUCAAUGCCAUCUGCUUUGUUUCCACAUGCACCAAGAAAUGACUGAGGAAUAAUUUCCUCUCCUUGCUAAUCUGACAGUAUUGCCUAACAAAGACAAGCUUGGCCUAUGAUACCAAAUUCAGCUAGAUUCAAAGUCCAGCAGCAUGAUUUUCUUAAAAACCUUAGACAACUAACAUACUCCCCUGUGCACUUAGCUUCGCACCUCUGAAAUUGUAGCAUAGGAAUAAACGUUGCAAGUGGGUUGUGGGAUUAGAUGACAUAAUACACAAAGUACACAAAACUUAGAACAUCUUAAUCCUUCACAAAAGGCAGGUAUUGAUAUCAAUAUAUUUUUACUGCUACUUCCUUGAUAUAGUGUCUGUAAAGUAUUUUUUACCCUAUAAAAUUCAAGCAUUGACAUCUAGCUUCUAUACCACAGAAUAAAGGGUAAGUAUUUACUCAGCAUGAGAGUAUGCUUACUAAGGUCUAGGGCAGUGGUGGUAAACCUAUGGCACACGUGCCACAGCAGGCUGUUUAUAUCAUUGAAAGCUCUAAAAGAUUCACCAUCACUGGUCUAGGGAAACUGAGUAGAUAAUGUUCUUGGCCCAAUAACCUUGGGCCUGUACCCAGUGACAUACACCCCUAAAAGAAACUUCUGUCUCACCCUGUAGCCACUCACUCCAGCCACUGGCCAGUCACUCUUGCCUCUAAACUGUUCUCUAUCUCUUUCUUUGCUUCAGGGAACUUCAAAUUCCCUUUUAGGUGAAUGCUUCCUCUGUUGGAUUAACUAGUGGUCACUUUGUAACACCCAGUUGCACUGAAUCAGCAAGACUCUGGAUGUGGAGGGCUCACCUGCGGAUUGUUGCCAACAGCACAAAGAGAACUGGAGGGGAAGAUGUGUACUGUUGACUCUUCUGGAAAAGCUUGUCACACUUGUUUUGCUGGUAGGAACUCAGCUGUUCUCAUUGUCCAAGGAGCUCAGGACCUUGCUGUCGCUGAGGACCACUGCGGUUCUUUUUGGGGGAGAUCUGGUCUUUACUUUGAACAUCACUUCCUGGGCCCAGUGCAGAUCUCUCAGCCUGCUGGCAUAGAUCCUUCAUCC
Chinchilla lanigera (long-tailed chinchilla) is the source of this 4178-nucleotide long non-coding RNA. RefSeq lists it as uncharacterized. NCBI's taxonomy places the organism in Eukaryota, Metazoa, Chordata, Mammalia, Rodentia, Chinchillidae. The transcript is spliced from 3 exons. The record is from RefSeq and is a predicted model, not a curated record.